RNAcentral lists this unclassified non-coding RNA (403 nucleotides) under Hevea brasiliensis (rubber tree). Lineage: Eukaryota; Viridiplantae; Streptophyta; Magnoliopsida; Malpighiales; Euphorbiaceae. The record is from RNAcentral.
UGCAAAUUGUGGAUAUCGGUCAUCAUCAGCUGUUGGACCCCAGGGUGUUGUACCUUGACAACAACAUCUCUUUUGUCACCUAUGAGUCUCGCUCUGUGAACCUGUGCAAUAGAAGCAGAACCGAGAGGAUCGAAAUCAAAACUUUCAAACAAUUCAUCAACAUUCUGAUUUAAUUCCUUCUCCAGCACAGCCCUGACCACAUUGUACGGUGUAGCAGGCGCUUGAUCACAUAGAGUAACUAACCUUCUCACCCAUGCAGCAGGGGCCAAGUCCGGUUUCCCAAUUAGUUGAGCAACCUUUAGGAAGAACCCACCAAGGUCAGAGCACAUAUUAUAUAUCUUCUCAGCUGCAACCUCAUGCUGCCUCUCCCACAUUGCUUCUUGUUUUUGCACAUCCUUUUCAA